This 585-nucleotide ribosomal RNA is filed under the name uncultured bacterium. Its description in RNAcentral is "bacterial SSU rRNA". It matches the Rfam family "Bacterial small subunit ribosomal RNA", at positions 1 to 635 of the family's 1533-position model. The record is from RNAcentral.
UUAGAGUUUGAUCCUGGCUCAGAGCGAACGCUGGCGGCAGGCUUAACACAUGCAAGUCGAGCGGGCGUAGCAAUACGUCAGCGGCAGACGGGUGAGUAACGCGUGGGAACGUACCUUUUGGUUCGGAACAACACAGGGAAACUUGUGCUAAUACCGGAUAAGCCCUUACGGGGAAAGAUUUAUCGCCGAAAGAUCGGCCCGCGUCUGAUUAGCUAGUUGGUGAGGUAACGGCUCACCAAGGCGACGAUCAGUAGCUGGUCUGAGAGGAUGAUCAGCCACAUUGGGACUGAGACACGGCCCAAACUCCUACGGGAGGCAGCAGUGGGGAAUAUUGGACAAUGGGCGCAAGCCUGAUCCAGCCAUGCCGCGUGAGUGAUGAAGGCCCUAGGGUUGUAAAGCUCUUUUGUGCGGGAAGAUAAUGACGGUACCGCAAGAAUAAGCCCCGGCUAACUUCGUGCCAGCAGCCGCGGUCAUAUGAAGGGGGUUAGCGUUGCUCGGAAUCACUGGGCGUAAAGGGCGCGUAGACGGGUCUUUAACUCAGAGGUGAAAUCCUGGACCUCAACUCCAGAUCUGCCUUUGAUAUUG